Non-coding RNA from Prunus avium (sweet cherry), 416 nucleotides. The record is from RefSeq and is a predicted model, not a curated record. NCBI's taxonomy places the organism in Eukaryota, Viridiplantae, Streptophyta, Magnoliopsida, Rosales, Rosaceae.
UGAAUAUUAACCAGUUCACGUGAGUCUGCAUAAAGAGAGGAACAACACCACUUACAAAGGAAAGGAAAAAAGCUUUUAUCUUCUUGAUUGGGCACAACUACUAAAAGGGCAAGGGAAUUUGAUGGACCUAGUAGAUCCAAGGUUGGGCUCAGACUUCAACAAAGAAGAGAUGAUGUUUACAAUCAAUGUGGCUCUCCUCUGCUGCAAUGUCACUUCAAUAGUUAGGCCUACCAUGUCUUCAGUUGUGAGCAUGCUUGAAGGCAGGGCUGCUGUUCAGGAAUUGGUCUCAGAUCCAAAUGCGUCAACUAAUGAGAUCGAAGCAAUGAGGAAACAUUUUGAAUCCAGUUUCGGAAGGAAAACUGGUGAGAGCCAGACACAAACCGCGUCAACUGAAGGGCCUUGGACUAGUUCAUCUA